GUCCACGCCCUAAACUAUGUCAACUAGUUGUCGGGGAAGCAAUUCCUUGGUAACGAAGCUAACGCGUGAAGUUGACCGCCUGGGGGAGUACGGUCGCAAGAUUAAAAACUCAAAAGGAAUUGACGGGGGCCCGCACAAGCGGUGGAUGAUGUGGAUUAAUUCGAUGCAACGCGAAAAACCUUACCUACCCUUGACAUGCCCGGGAGGCCGAUGAAAGUUGGCUGUGCUCGAAAGAGAGCCGGGACACAGGUGCUGCAUGGCUGUCGU
RNAcentral lists this ribosomal RNA (267 nucleotides) under uncultured bacterium. RNAcentral describes it as "partial 16S ribosomal RNA". It matches the Rfam family "Bacterial small subunit ribosomal RNA", at positions 793 to 1055 of the family's 1533-position model. The record is from RNAcentral.